CGACAGGGCACAAGCCAGGGAGAAGCGACUGUUUAUCAAAAACACAGGGCUCUGCUAACACGUAAGUGGAUGUAUAGGGUCUGACGCCUGCCCGGUGCUGGAAGGUUAAUGCGAUGGGUGCAAGCUCAUUUUUGAAGCCCCAGUAAACGGCGGCCGUAACUAUAACGGUCCUAAGGUAGCGAAAUUCCUUGUCGGGUAAGUUCCGACCUGCAUGAAUGGCGUAACGAUUUCUCCGCUGUCUCCAACAUCAACUCAGUGAAAUUGAAUUCUCCGUGAAGAUGCGGAGUUCGCGUAGUUAGACGGAAAGACCCCGUGCACCUUUACUGCAACUUUACAUUGGUGUUAGGAAAAACAUAUUUAGCAUAGGAGGGAGACAUUGAAGCAAAGGCGUCAGCUUUUGUGGAGUCACCAGUGAAAUACCUCUUUUGUUUUUCUUGAUAUCUAACUGAUUGCCGUCAUCCGGCAUCAAGACAUUGUAUGGUGGGUAGUUUGACUGGGGCGGUCGCCUCCCAAAUAGUAACGGAGGCGUGCGAAGGUAAGCUCAGAACGGUCAGAAAUCGUUCGUAGAGUGCAAUGGCAUAAGCCUGCCUGACUGUGAGACUGACAAGUCGAGCAGAGUCGAAAGACGGUCAUAGUGAUCCGGUGGUUCUGAGUGGAAGGGCCAUCGCUCAACGGAUAAAAGGUACGCCGGGGAUAACAGGCUGAUACCCCCCAAGAGUUCACAUCGACGGGGGUGUUUGGCACCUCGAUGUCGGCUCAUCGCAUCCUGGGGCUGAAGCAGGUCCCAAGGGUAUGGCUGUUCGCCAUUUAAAGUGGUACGCGAGCUGGGUUUAGAACGUCGUGAGACAGUUCGGUCCCUAUCUGCCGUGCGCGUUGGAAAAUUGAGAAGAGUUGCUCCUAGUACGAGAGGACCGGAGUGAACGAACCCCUGGUGUUCGGGUUGUCAUGCCAAUGGCAUUGCCCGGUAGCUAUGUUCGGAAAGGAUAACCGCUGAAAGCAUAUAAGCGGGAAGCCUCCUUCAAGACUAGUUUUCCCUGGACCUUCGGGUCCUUUAAGAGCCGUUCAAGACUAGGACGUUGAUAGGCAGGGUGUGUAAGUGCUGUAAGGCAUUGAGCUAAC
This 1119-nucleotide ribosomal RNA is filed under the name marine metagenome. RNAcentral describes it as "bacterial LSU rRNA". It matches the Rfam family "Bacterial large subunit ribosomal RNA", at positions 1772 to 2895 of the family's 2925-position model. The record is from RNAcentral.